RNAcentral lists this ribosomal RNA (468 nucleotides) under uncultured bacterium. Its description in RNAcentral is "bacterial SSU rRNA". It matches the Rfam family "Bacterial small subunit ribosomal RNA", at positions 335 to 795 of the family's 1533-position model. The record is from RNAcentral.
ACUCCUACGGGAGGCAGCAGUGGGGAAUUUUGGACAAUGGGGGCAACCCUGAUCCAGCCAUGCCGCGUGAGUGAAGAAGGCCUUCAGGUUGUAAAGCUCUUUCGGCCGGGAAGAAAUCGUGUUCUCUAACAUAGGACAUGGAUGACGGUACCGGACUAAGAAGCACCGGCUAACUACGUGCCAGCAGCCGCGGUAAUACGUAGGGUGCGAGCGUUAAUCGGAAUUACUGGGCGUAAAGCGUGCGCAGGCGGUUUUGUAAGACAGAUGUGAAAUCCCCGGGCUUAACCUGGGAACUGCGUUUGUGACUGCAAGGCUAGAGUACGGCAGAGGGGGGUGGAAUUCCUGGUGUAGCAGUGAAAUGCGUAGAUAUCAGGAGGAACACCGAUGGCGAAGGCAGCCCCCUGGGCCUGUACUGACGCUCAUGCACGAAAGCGUGGGGAGCAAACAGGAUUAGAUACCCUGGUAGUC